RNAcentral lists this long non-coding RNA (1893 nucleotides) under Phoenix dactylifera (date palm). Its description in RNAcentral is "long non-coding RNA (PDAC_LNC003934)". Lineage: Eukaryota; Viridiplantae; Streptophyta; Magnoliopsida; Arecales; Arecaceae. The record is from RNAcentral.
UUCAAAUCCAAAUGCAUGAUUGCUCAGGAUUUGGGGAGUGCGCUAGAUCUUUUGAAGAUACUUUUAGUUAUUGAAGUUUUAGCUAUACUAGUUAGAGUAUUUUAUUUGAUUUAUGUUAAUAGUUAGCAAAUGUUGACUUAUGUCACUUUGGAACUAUGGUAAGAAUUAUUUGAAUCGGCCUUGAUUAAAUAAAUUUUUAAGAAUUAUUAUUGUUUGAUAUGAUCUGUAGCCUUGCAUGCUUGUAUAGUCCGCUAUACGGGUAUGCGGCGUCUAUUACACUCUAGAUUCAGAGCGUGACAAUACCACUCCCCCUACUAGUCAAUUUUUCAAAAAAUCUGCAGGCAUACACUUGUCAGUCCGCAGAUCAGAAUUAUAUGGAAUUUUGACUAGGUAUGGUCACUUAUGAUGUUGUACAAGAACAUAUCUUUGUUUGCUAUCCCUGGAAGCAAAAGUCCCAAAGUGCCAUUCCUUCAAUUUAUCCAACGAUCUAUAAUUCAAAAACCACUCUCUCAAUCCACAUCACCAAGUAAUAUGAGACCCAGAUGAAGUUUGGCUGCCUAUCAUGUUUCUCAGGGCCAUGUAAUGGUUUCAAUCAAUCACAGCCACCUUCAAAGACUAAAAUACAUAUUAUGGAGUUGUCUCUCAAAAACUAACCUAACCAACGGCUUCUGCUAGUGAGCUCACAAUAUUAUCAUCCAAUUCAUAUUCUCCAUGAAUACCCUUCUGCAAAGGAUAUAUUUUGCAGUUAUCACUCCAAAGCUAAUGCCCUACACCUACAUAUUUAUCUUCGUAAAAGAGUGAUACUUAGGUAUCACUAAACUACUACCCACCUCACCAAGAAAUAAAAAAAUAAAAAAUAAAAGCAUACAAAAAUUAAAACAUAACAUAUAUGAUGGACAGAUAGUUUUCUAUAUCCUCUCAUGGCAUCAUAUACAUGAUCUUUUUUAUUGGUCAAAGGGAUUACUUAAACAUGAAGAUAAAAGAAGGAGCACAAUAGACAAUUUUUGUUUUCAAUAUAAAGCACGCCUACAAAAAAAUAUAUAGUACUUAAUAUGUGGAUAAAUAUCAUCAAUUCAUAAACAUAAGCAAAACCAAAUGACAUAUAACCCCCCAAAAAAAGACGAAAGUCUUUUAAUGUGUCGAACUGAACUAAAGAACGAAAUAUGCCUUAAUCAAAUUAGUGAACAACUGAACCAUUUCUCUUUUUUUAUAAAUAAGAGCAAACACAGAAAUUUCGACUAAAAAAAUGAUGUUGCUCUCCUUCUCAACCUGUACAGAAUGAUCUAGAGAAAAUUCGUGCCUGACUCAAAUAAGAUGGGUGGUUGAACCUCCUCUUUAGCGGGAUCUAGUUCUGGAGACAAAAAAAAAAUGCUGAACUGAUCUUGAUCUAGUUUAGCAGGAUAGAUUAGAUUUGCAAUGGGAUAAUGGGAUAUCGAAAGUUCGAUCUACCAUGAAUACCAUGUUUAAAAAGCUGGAAAUGCCUAAGACACCCACUUUGGAUGAGAAACCCUCUGACAGAUACGGUGAAUGACAUCACCCUCCAGAUGGACUCCUUGUCUUGUGAGAGGGAUUUCUAUUAUCCGACCAUUUUCAAGUAUCUAAAGAUUCUAAUCCAUUGAUCAGUAAGGGAAAGCAACACCACUCCACAACUUCCACAUGUUCAGCCACAUUUUUUCCCUCUCCAAUCAAAAUCCAGCAGGGCCCACCACCCUGACACUAAUAUUUACCAUCAUUGAUUAAAUUAUUGAUUAAAUUCAGACACUAAUAUUUACCAUUGCAGUAAGGAUCAUACUCCAUUAUCUCAUACUCAGGAAGCAACAGGAAAUAGGAAGUCUAAUGUUUAUGCUGGAUCCCAUGUACAAUCUCAAUAUAUAUAUAUAUAUAUAUAUAUAU